This 432-nucleotide ribosomal RNA is filed under the name uncultured bacterium. RNAcentral describes it as "partial 16S ribosomal RNA". It matches the Rfam family "Bacterial small subunit ribosomal RNA", at positions 29 to 506 of the family's 1533-position model. The record is from RNAcentral.
AACGAACGCUGGCGGCAUGCCUAACACAUGCAAGUCGAACGAGACCUUCGGGUCUAGUGGCGCACGGGUGCGUAACGCGUGGGAACCUGCCCUUAGGUUCGGAAUAACUCCCCGAAAGGGGUGCUAAUACCGGAUAAUGUCUUCGGACCAAAGAUUUAUCGCCUUUGGAUGGGCCCGCGUUGGAUUAGCUAGUUGGUAUGGUAAAAGCCUACCAAGGCGACGAUCCAUAGCUGGUCUGAGAGGAUGAUCAGCCACACUGGGACUGAGACACGGCCCAGACUCCUACGGGAGGCAGCAGUGGGGAAUAUUGGACAAUGGGCGAAAGCCUGAUCCAGCAAUGCCGCGUGAGUGAUGAAGGCCUUAGGGUUGUAAAGCUCUUUUACCCGGGAUGAUAAUGACAGUACCGGGAGAAUAAGCUCCGGCUAACUCCGU